RNAcentral lists this ribosomal RNA (828 nucleotides) under uncultured archaeon. Its description in RNAcentral is "bacterial SSU rRNA". It matches the Rfam family "Archaeal small subunit ribosomal RNA", at positions 23 to 861 of the family's 1478-position model. The record is from RNAcentral.
GCCGCCCUUUUUGGAUUCGAUAGAAUGCGAGUUGAGAGUCGUAAGGACUCGGCAGACCGCUCAGUAACACGCGGAUAACAUGCCCUUGGGUGGAGGAUAAUCUCGGGAAACUGAGGAUAAUACUCCAUAGAUCUACUAUGCUGGAAUGCUUGUAGGUCCAAAACUCCGGUGCCCAAGGAUUGGUCUGCGGCGUAUCAGGUAGUAGUGGGUGUAACGGACCCACUAGCCGAUGACGCGUAAGGGCCUUGAGAGAGGGAGCCCUGAGAUGGACUCUGAGACAUGAGUCCAGGCUCUACGGGGCGCAGCAGUCGCGAAAACUUCACAAUGGGGGAAACCCCGAUGAGGGAAUUCCAAGUGUCAGCACUUUGUGUUGACUGUUCUCCAGUCUAAAAAACUAGAGAAGUAAGGGCCGGGUAAGACGGGUGCCAGCCGCCGCGGUAAUACCCGCGGCCCGAGUGGUGGUCGAUAUUAUUGAGCCUAAAACGUUCGUAGCCGGUCUUGUAAAUCCUUGGGUAAAUCGGCCAGCUUAACUGUCCGAAGUCCGGGGAGACUGCAAGACUUGGGAUCGGGAGAGGUCAGAGGUACUUCUGGGGUAGGGGUAAAAUCCUGUAAUCCUAGAAGGACCACCGGUGGCGAAGGCGUCUGACUAGAACGAAUUCGACGGUGAGGAACGAAGCCCUGGGGCGCAAACGGGAUUAGAUACCCCGGUAGUCCAGGGUGUAAACGCUGCGGGCUUGGUGUUGGGGGUCCUUAGUGGGCGCCCAGUGCCGGAGAGAAGUUGUUAAGCCUGCUGCUUGGGGAGUAUGUCCGCAAGGAUGAAACUUAAAG